UAAGUCUAGAAAGGCGCAUGGCUAAAGA
RNAcentral lists this non-coding RNA (28 nucleotides) under Bombyx mori (domestic silkworm). Lineage: Eukaryota; Metazoa; Arthropoda; Insecta; Lepidoptera; Bombycidae. The record is from RNAcentral.